This 2175-nucleotide ribosomal RNA is filed under the name Triticum aestivum (bread wheat). RNAcentral describes it as "partial small subunit ribosomal RNA". The record is from RNAcentral. Lineage: Eukaryota; Viridiplantae; Streptophyta; Magnoliopsida; Poales; Poaceae.
AUGAGGAGGUUUUUGGUUCCUAGAGCAAGUAUUGAGAAUGCAAGUGACGUGCAGCCGGAAUCAGAACAAGACCCUCCUAUUCAUGUUGCUAACAAUAAUGAGUUUAAUCUGGACGAAAUUCAAUCUGAUCCCGCACUGAGAAAACAAAUUGCUGAAUAUGCACCACAAAUUCAAGACCAAGUUAGGAGGGCAUACAUAUUAAAGGAUCGAACCAAACUAGAAUUUCGCCGAACGGAUUCAAGAGCAGUUUCUAAGUAAUGGUAUGAAAAGUAUAACUGGAUAGAAUAUAGCGAGUCCGAGGAUGCAGCUUUUUGUUUCUAUUGUUUCUUGUUCAAGAAACCUAGAAGGGCUGAACACUUCGGGUUUGAAGUCUUCACCAAAACAAGUUUUAGGGACUGGAAACAUGCAUAUAGAGCCUUACCUGAGCAUGUAGGUGGUCUGAAUAGUGGUCACAACAAUUGUGUUCGGCAUUAUGAUGAUUUCAAAAAUCAAAGACAAAAGUGUGUAAGGUAUCUCAUAGCACAAGGUUUGUCAUUCCAUGGCCAUGAUGAAUCUACUACUUCACUGAACAAGGGAAACUUUCUAGAGAUGAUAGAUUGGUUAAAGGAUAGCAAUGAAGAAGUAAGAGAUGCUUUUGAUUGUGGUGGACAAAACUGCAAGAUGACUUCCGGUGAAAUACAAAAGGACCUUGCAAGGUGUUGUGUAGAAGAAGUCACCGAAGUGAUUAUGGGGGAGCUUGGUGAUAAAAAGUUCCCUGUUCUUAUUGAUGAGUCACGUGAUAUAUCUGUGAAAGAACAAAUGGCAGUAAUGUUGAGGUAUGUGAAUGAAGGGAAGGUUGUGGAACGAUUUCUAUGUCUGCACCACAUCAAAGAUACUACAUCCGAGUCACUGAAGUUAGCUCUUGUAAAGCUUCUUGAUCAUUACAAAUUACCAAUUUCAAGGCUACGAGGGCAAGGAUAUGACGGUGCUUCAAACAUGAGAGGUUAAUUUAACGGUUUGCAAAGAAAAAUUCUCGACGAAAACCCUCAUGCUUUCUACGUCCAUUGCUUUUCCCAUAGAUUACAGUUGGUUGUGGUUGUUGUUGCUAGUUCUUCUUGCUCAUAUAUUCAUGAUUUUUUUGAGUACAUAUCAUUGAUUGUGACCACAACAACUUCAUCUUGCAAGAAGAUGGAAGUGUUGGUGGAAGAAUCUCACAAUGAUAUUUUGGAAAGGCUUGAGAGGGGUGAGAUUAGAGGCUUGAAUCAACAGACUAGUCUUGCUAGACCUGAUGGGCGUAAUCCGAGCCACGCUACGGGUUGCAUAGAAAAAAUGGAGUGCUUCAAAUUUUCUCUCGUUUUGAAGUUUAUGCUAAAGUUGUUUGGUAUAACAAAUGAGCUCUCACAACUUUUGCAAAGAAGGGAUACAAAUAUUGUGCUUGCCUUGGAAUUAAUUCAUGAUGUUAAACUCCGGUUGGCUACCAUGAGAGAUAGUGGUUGGGAGAGUAUUUUUGAUGAGGUUAAACAAUUCUGCAAUUCCAAAGGUAUUCCAGUGCCAAAUAUGGAUGAUGAAAUACCAAUUCGAGGUCGCUCGAGGCUAGAGGGAAGGACUAUCACUAAUCUUCAUUAUUAGCGAGCUGAGAUUUUCUAUGUCGUUAUUGACAAAAUAUGUGUUGAGAUGAAUCAUCGCUUAAGUGACUCAAACCAAGAGGUAAUUGCAUGUUUCUCGUGUCUUGAUCCCAAGAAUUCUUUCUCCAAGUUUGAUGUACAGAAGCUUUCUUGGCUUGCUGAAAUAUAUAGUGCCGAUUUCUCAAAUAGUGAUCGUACAAUAUUGAGGGACCAACUUGAGACUUUUGUUCUUCAUUUGAGAAAUCAUGCUGCAUUUUCUACUUGCAAAGAUGUUGAAAGUUUAGCUACAAAAAUGGUUGAAACAGAGAAACAUUUGGUCUUUCCAUUGGUUUACAAGCUCAUUGAGUUAGCUUUGCUACUGCCGGUGCCCACGGCAUCUGUUGAGAGAUCUUUGUCGGCAAUGAAAAUUAUCAAGUCUAAACUGCGCAGCACGAUCAAUGAUGAUUGGUUUAAUCACUUAAUGAUAUGCUACACUGAACGUGAAAUAUUUAAAUCACUUGAUGAUGAAGUUAUCACUCGAAGGUUUCAGGCCAUGAAGGCUCGAAAAGGGAUUUUACCAAGGCAUAAUUAG